This 497-nucleotide ribosomal RNA is filed under the name uncultured bacterium. RNAcentral describes it as "partial 16S ribosomal RNA". It matches the Rfam family "Bacterial small subunit ribosomal RNA", at positions 28 to 507 of the family's 1533-position model. The record is from RNAcentral.
GAUGAACGCUGACGGCGUGCCUAGUACAUGCAAGUCGAGCGAACGGACGAGAAGCUUGCUUCUCUGAUGUUAGCGGCGGACGGGUGAGUAACACGUGGAUAACCUACCUAUAAGACUGGGAUAACUUCGGGAAACCGUAGCUAAUACCGGAUAAUAUUUUGAACCGCAUGGUUCAAAAGUGAAAGACGGUCUUGCUGUCACUUAUAGAUGGAUCCGCGCUGCAUUAGCUAGUUGGUAAGGUAACGGCUUACCAAGGCAACGAUGCAUAGCCGACCUGAGAGGGUGAUCGGCCACACUGGAACUGAGACACGGUCCAGACUCCUACGGGAGGCAGCAGUAGGGAAUCUUCCGCAAUGGGCGAAAGCCUGACGGAGCAACGCCGCGUGAGUGACGAAGGUCUUCGGAUCGUAAAACUCUGUUAUUAGGGAAGAACAUAUGCGUAAGUAACUGUGCACAUCUUGACGGUACCUAAUCAGAAAGCCACGGCUAACUACGUG